Molecule: ribosomal RNA, 460 nt
Filed under: uncultured bacterium
Lineage: Bacteria
Description: partial 16S ribosomal RNA
Rfam family: Bacterial small subunit ribosomal RNA
Source: RNAcentral
CCUACGGGUGGCAGCAGUGAGGAAUAUUGGUCAAUGGACGAGAGUCUGAACCAGCCAAGUAGCGUGAAGGAUGACUGCCCUAUGGGUUGUAAACUUCUUUUAUAUGGGAAUAAAACGUUCCACGUGUGGGAUUUUGUAUGUACCAUAUGAAUAAGGAUCGGCUAACUCCGUGCCAGCAGCCGCGGUAAUACGGAGGAUGCGAGCGUUAUCCGGAUUUAUUGGGUUUAAAGGGAGCGUAGGUGGAUUGUUAAGUCAGUUGUGAAAGUUUGCGGCUCAACCGUAAAAUUGCAGUUGAAACUGGCAGUCUUGAGUACAGUAGAGGUGGGCGGAAUUCGUGGUGUAGCGGUGAAAUGCUUAGAUAUCACGAAGAACUCCGAUUGCGAAGGCAGUUCACUGGACUGCAACUGACACUGAGGCUCGAAAGUGUGGGUAUCAAACAGGAUUAGAUACCCUUGUAGUC